AUGAACGCGAUGAUGAGGAUCAAUCGUUCCAAUUUCGAUCAUGCAGAGAGCCGGUGUCUGGUGAAAACCGGUUGACGAUAGGGAUGAACUCGCCUCGGAGCAAUGGUGUUAACCCGGCCGUCGGAGGGCUGUAUUCCGGCAGAAUCGGCCGAUGAAGCAUCGUCGUCUUAUCCGCGAUAAGGAUGCAAAGGGAGCGAAAGGCAAAGCAUGCCUUUGGCUAACUAGGGUGGUACCACGGGAAUCAAACCUCUCGUCCCUAGC
This 261-nucleotide non-coding RNA is filed under the name Paenibacillus sp. Its description in RNAcentral is "T-box sequence". It matches the Rfam family "T-box leader". From Rfam's summary of the family: Uncharged tRNA acts as the effector for transcription antitermination of genes in the T-box leader family. T-boxes are found upstream of many aminoacyl-tRNA synthetase genes and some amino acid biosynthetic genes usually in Gram-positive bacteria. The anticodon of a specific tRNA base pairs to a specifier sequence within the T-box motif, and the NCCA acceptor tail of the tRNA base pairs to a conserved bulge in the T-box antiterminator hairpin. The record is from RNAcentral. Lineage: Bacteria; Bacillati; Bacillota; Bacilli; Caryophanales; Paenibacillaceae.